Long non-coding RNA from Cyprinus carpio carpio, 1602 nucleotides. Lineage: Eukaryota; Metazoa; Chordata; Actinopteri; Cypriniformes; Cyprinidae. The record is from Ensembl.
AUAUGAGAAUGAUAUAUUUCAGUUACGUGUGCAUCUUUGUAUGAAAUGCAGGGCCAUUGAGUUCGAGAGAAAAAUGCAUUUAGAUCAAAGAGCCUCGUGACUGUGGAUUAUCAGAUGAUCGGCUGAUAACACGCCGUCCUUUGUGCCUGCGGUUGCUGAGAAACGGCGGGUAGUUCAUGUGAGUCGAGCGGGAGCUGACUGAGGGAUGCUGGGAAUCAAAGUCUGUUUAUUAAAUACUGUAUGAGUGACGCCUCUGCAGGAUGAAUCGGCUGCGGUCGCUGCGAUGACAGUUAUCAGUGACAGCCUUCAUCGUGUUUCAUCAGCGCUGGACGCGAGCCACCUCCUCAGUAAGCCUGCGGAUCACACUGGAUGCUUUUCCAACUCGCUGUCCUCGGAUGAACCGAAGGCCGCUGCCAAGAUUCAGCUCAGUUUAUAGAAGGUAACUGGGUUACAAACCAACCAGCACAACAGAGAGAUGCAGGCCCAGAGAAUGAACCAGUCAGUACUGAGGAAACACACAGUAAACUGAAAACUCCAGAUCUGGACCGGGUUUGUUGAUGUUGACCGUUCAUGUGCUGACUAAUGCUAGAAAAAGAUGUCACCGCAAAGGACUGCAGUCGGGAUGAAGAUGACGUAGGUCUCGUUUUGCACUGAUGCAGCGUUCCUGUUUCAGACUCUUUCUGCUACAAACCUUCUGACUCUCUUAAACUGAGUGAAGAACAUAGUUAAGCAACACACAUUCAGCAGAAUGACCUCAUGGCUGUCAGAAGAGCUGCUUCCAUGGAAACACCAUAAUCCAGUUUACAAAGAGACGGCGAGACAACGCUCCUCAAGUGCCUCAUCUAGACAUACACUCCUGUUCCUCUGACAUGAUUCACCUGAUCCUGAAGAAUGCCACAAUGAGAGCAGACUUUUGUUGUUGUUGCUUUCACAAAGAAUAGCCUAAGAAAUCUCCGAUAUCUCCACAGCCUGAAUAUUAUUUGUAUGAACUAAGCUGUUUGCAUUAAGAAUUAUAAACCAAAGGAACGAUUCAUUUCUUCUGAAAGAGUGUUUAGAGUGAGUUUCAUCAUCAUCUGAAUGCUCUGUUUGUCUUUGUCUCAUUUCAACAGUUUAUUCUGUGUUGAAGAUGUUUGAGGUUACAGCAGUUGAUUCUGGAAGGAUAUUACACUCGUAAACAAAACUCCAUAUGACUGACGAACAAAAUCUGCUACUCGAGUUGCAUCAUGACAUUCGGUUCAGACGCUCACCUCAGUCCGUUUUCAUAAAUAUAGAGUUAAAGAUUGAAUGUGAUGCGUGACGUAAGGCAGUGGCUGAAGAAGGCAUCUGUCACAGACGUGCUCCUCUGCAUAUUUACAUGUAACAUACACUCCUUACUCUGUCUUUACUAAUGGUGUGCUAUUUUUGUCUGGCUAAAUGUUGUCUGAACAUUGAAUGCAUUCUGAACUUCUGAACUUAACAACAUAUUUAAAGCGUAAUAUGAUACAGUGUGCAGAAUCUUACAUGUUUAGGUUGAAAGGUGAUACAGUAAUGCACGGCUGUCACGUAAAGCAAUGGCUGUUUUAAGAUUCUUGCCCCGAGCAUAUAUGUGAAACAAUAACUACC